RNAcentral lists this ribosomal RNA (578 nucleotides) under Amphiagrion saucium. Its description in RNAcentral is "SSU rRNA". It matches the Rfam family "Eukaryotic small subunit ribosomal RNA", at positions 606 to 1159 of the family's 1831-position model. Lineage: Eukaryota; Metazoa; Arthropoda; Insecta; Odonata; Coenagrionidae. The record is from RNAcentral.
AAAGUUGUUGCGGUUAAAAAGCUCGUAGUCGGAGGUGUGUCUCGGACGGUCGGUUCGCCGCUUGUCGGUGCUCAACUGGCCGGUCCGGACGUCCUGCCGGUGGGGCCUCGCGGCCCCGUCAUCCUUCUUUGGUCCUCUUCACCGAGUGCCUUGGUGGGCCGGCACGUUUACUUUGAACAAAUUAGAGUGCUCAAAGCAGGCCGUUGGUCGCCUGAAUACUGUGUGCAUGGAAUAAUGGAAUAGGACCUCGGUUCCAUUUUGUUGGUUUUCGGGACUCGAGGUAAUGAUUAAUAGGGACGGACGGGGGCAUUCGUAUUGCGACGUUAGAGGUGAAAUUCUUGGAUCGUCGCAAGACGAACCGAUGCGAAAGCAUUUGCCAAGAACGUUUUCGUUGAUCAAGAACGAAAGUUAGAGGUUCGAAGGCGAUCAGAUACCGCCCUAGUUCUAACCAUAAACGAUGCCAGCUAGCCAUCCGCCGAAGUUCCUUCUAUGACUCGGCGGGCAGCUUCCGGGAAACCAAAGCUCUUGGGUUCCGGGGGAAGUAUGGUUGCAAAGCUCAAACUUAAAGGAAUUGACGG